GCCUACGGGAGGCAGCAGUGAGGAAUAUUGGUCAAGGGGCGCGAGCCUGAACCAGCCAAGUCGCGUGAGGGAUGAAGGUUCUAUGGAUCGUAAACCUCUUUUAUAAGGGAAUAAAGUGUGGGACGUGUCCUAUUUUGUAUGUACCUUAUGAAUAAGGAUCGGCUAACUCCGUUCCAGCAGCCGCGGUAAUACGGAGGAUCCGAGCGGUAUCCGGCUUUAUUGGGUUUAAAGGGUGCGUAGGCGGCCUUUUAAGUCAGGGGUGAAAGUCUGUGGCUCAACCAUAGAAUUGCCGUUGAAACUGGGGGGCUUGAGUAUGUUUGAGGCAGGCGGAAUGCGUGGUGUAGCGGUGAAAUGCUUAGAUAUCACGCAGAACCCCGAUUGCGAAGGCAGCCUGCCAAGCCAUGACUGACGCUGAUGCACGAAAGCGUGGGGAUCAAACAGGAUUAGAUACCCGAGUAGUC
RNAcentral lists this ribosomal RNA (461 nucleotides) under uncultured bacterium. Its description in RNAcentral is "partial 16S ribosomal RNA". It matches the Rfam family "Bacterial small subunit ribosomal RNA", at positions 337 to 795 of the family's 1533-position model. The record is from RNAcentral.